GACGAACGCUGGCGGCGCGCUUAACACAUGCAAGUCGAACGGAAAGGCCCUGCUUUUGUGGGGUGCUCGAGUGGCGAACGGGUGAGUAACACGUGAGUAACCUGCCCUUGACUUUGGGAUAACUUCAGGAAACUGGGGCUAAUACCGGAUAGGAGCUCCUGCUGCAUGGUGGGGGUUGGAAAGUUUCGGCGGUUGGGGAUGGACUCGCGGCUUAUCAGCUUGUUGGUGGGGUAGUGGCUUACCAAGGCUUUGACGGGUAGCCGGCCUGAGAGGGUGACCGGCCACAUUGGGACUGAGAUACGGCCCAGACUCCUACGGGAGGCAGCAGUGGGGAAUAUUGCACAAUGGGCGGAAGCCUGAUGCAGCAACGCCGCGUGCGGUAUGACGGCCUUCGGGUUGUAAACCGCUUUCGCCUGUGACGAAGCGUGAGUGACGGUAAUGGGUAAAGAAGCACCGGCUAACUACGUG
Molecule: ribosomal RNA, 468 nt
Filed under: uncultured bacterium
Lineage: Bacteria
Description: partial 16S ribosomal RNA
Rfam family: Bacterial small subunit ribosomal RNA
Source: RNAcentral